This is a long non-coding RNA of Salvelinus fontinalis (brook trout), 11668 nucleotides long. RefSeq lists it as uncharacterized. The record is from RefSeq and is a predicted model, not a curated record. The transcript has 6 exons. Lineage: Eukaryota; Metazoa; Chordata; Actinopteri; Salmoniformes; Salmonidae.
AUGUGGGCAGAGUGAAACGUCUGGGCCGGGCUAAAUGUGGCAGAGUGAAACGUCUGGGCCGGACUCAAUGUGGGCAGAGUGAAACGUCUGGGCCGGGCUCAAUGUGAGCGGAGUAAAACGUCUGGGCCGGGCUCAAUGUGGGCGGAGUCAAACGCAUUUUACCCGAACCUCACCAAGGUCACCCAAAUUUAGGUAAAUGUCGAAGGUAUUAACGUCAACGAAAGCGAAUCUUAAUCUAACCUACAUGGAUACAAAUAGAAACCAUGGAAAAACAGCUUGGAUCAGGGCCUACCAAAGGACGGUUUCUAAAACAAACGUUGAGGUGUUUGUUUUGUUGUACACUCUGUACAUUGCAAUGGAAGCACAGUGGGAUUUCACUGAGGAAACAUGCAGAAAAUUAGGCGACGGUGGUGCCUCGUUCUCCUGCAGAACUUUCCCAUGCUGACCUGAGCCCUAGGACCAUGCCUCAGGACGACCUGGCAUGAUGACUCCUUGCUGUCCCCAGUCCACCUGGCCGUGCUGCUGCUCCAGUUUCAACUGUUCUGCCUGCGGCUAUGGAACCCUGACCUGUUCACCGGACGUGCUACCUGUCCCAGACCUGCCGUUUUCAACUCUCUAGAGACCGCAGGAGUGGUAGAGAUACUCUUAAUGAUCGGCUAUGAAAGGCCAACUGACAUUUACUCCUGAGGUGCUGACUUGCUGCACCCUCAACAACUACUGUGAUUAUUAUUAUUUGACCAUGCUGGUCAUUUAUGAACAUUUGAACAUCUUGGCCAUGUUCUGUUAUAAUCUCCACCCGGCACAGCCAGAAGAGGACUGGCCACCCUCAUAACCUAGAGAGGAACCAGGCUUCUUCCUAGGUUUUGGCCUUUCUAGGGAGUUUUUCCUAGACACCAUGCUUCUACACCUGCAUUACUUGCUGUUUGGGGGUUUUAGGCUGGGUUUCGGUACAGCACUUUGAUAUAUCAGCUGAUGUAAGAAGGGCUAUAUAAAUACAUUUGAUUUGAUUGAGCCUGACCCUGAAUUGCACACUGCAGUCGGGUGCGUUUUGGAGUCCGUAUGGGAGUUGCAGCGAUGAGACAAGACUGUAACUACCAAUUGGAUACCACUUCUUUAAUUCUCCUAAAUAUCACCAUCUACUGUACCCGUGGGCGUUGCUACCACAACUUUCGAUGACGAGUAGCCCCGCUUUACUCUUGGAUUUUAUGUGUGUGUAUAUAUAAAUAUCACAUCACUGGUCUGCUUGAUUCAAAUAGGUUUCCAAACCCCUCACUAGGAUAUUUCACUGCAAAAUGAUACGUGCGUGAUACGUGGAUUCAGCAUGCCCCAAUACAUUCUGAAUACUGUUGUGAUGGUUGAGAUUUUUACCCCAAGUAUAUAACAUGCAAACAUUUUAUUUGGCAUGAGUAAAGUUACUAAAAAUAUAAAAGCCAACACAAGAAGCUAAAACAAUCACAAAAACAUCAACUGUAGCAUAAUUAACUUUACAGAAAACAUUGAUUCACUUCAAUAUGUACAACAUAAAAUAAAUCUAAGAAUCCCAAAUGAAGCAACAAACAUAGCACCUAUCAUGAGCCGUCUGAAUUAUUAAAGUAGUGUGAAAUUGUUUCUGAAAGUCAACAGCUGAAGCCUAUAAUGGAAAAUUAAUAUCUGUCAUGAUGGACAUACCCUACCUAAAUCUUCUAUAAAAGUCUGAGGUGACCCCUUUUUAAUUGAAGUCCAAAAUCCAAAUGAAACAUAUCCCUCAAGUUCAGUAAUAGUCUGUUAAAGCUGUGUUCAUAUAGAACAAGACGGUCUGUGAUCAAAUGGCCUGCAUCACUGUGAGCUGGCACACUGCAUACUCCAUAUUCUUCUUAAAGACUUGGUAGGAUGGCACCACAGGCAGCACCAGGUGGUUAGAGCUGGGUUGGCUCUUGGGAAAGGCCCCGGCAGGGUCCAGGGGGUUGAGGAAGGAUACGGUGGGGUUGGGGCUGAACCCUAUGGCUGGCACCACAUCAGCGGAUGUGGCAUAGAUGAGCACGUCCUCUAGCGAUGUUGCACAUCUGCCAACUGUAACCAGUGAACAGAGACUGGUGAGGAUGGGUAAUAUAUGGAGAUAGACAGGGACAUUCAUGUGCUUGUGUUAGUUUUACUGAAUAGACUUGUAAUAGUAGUGUACACUGUCUGAAUGGCCUUUGAGUGUGUAUUUUUAAUCACAUAUAUCAAUCAGUCAUUGGAGGUCAAAGUACCUUCACACUCCACUAGGUAGUGUCUCCAGAAGGUGACCACAGCACUCUCCUUCCCUGUGGUCUCUUCCUGUUCUGAAAACUUAACAGUGAAGAGGGCAGACAUGGUCUCAGCAGUCAGCUUGUCAGGAGAGGAACAGAACAGACUAACAAAGGCCCCCGGAAACAUCUGGACCUGGUCAAACACACCAAGGGUUUUCAAACCUUCACAGAACCUAAAAACACAAAAAGGUUCAACAAAAUAUAGUUAAAGGCCCAGUAAAAUCCAAAUUGUGAUCUUGCUGAGUGAUAUAUAUAUAUCCAUCCACACUAUGAGGUUGGAAUAAUACUGUUAAAAUUAUGAUAAUGCCCUUUUAGUGUAAGAGCUGUUUGAAAAGACCCCCCUGAAAUCUCAGCCAGUUUUGGCCUGCCUGGUGACAUCACCAAGCGGUAAAUUAGUUAAUCAACCAAUAAGAAAAAGUUCAAACCUCUCUGCCAAUAACAGCUAGUUUUACAUUUUCCACUCCCCACAAGACCAGUACCAGACAGUUCUAGCAAAACUCUUGCUUGAGAAAUUGCUCUUUGCUAAGAAGCUAUUUUGGUUUAUUUUUUACCAUUUUAAUUGAAAACGAGUAACACGGAACCCAAACCGGCUGCACGCGUGCGCCAUCAUGCAUACAUUUAUUUUGUCCCCCUACACCAAACACGAUCACGACACGCAGGUUAAAAUAUCAAAACUAACUCUGAACCAAUGACAUUAAUUUGGGGACAGGUCGAAAAGCAUUAAACAUGUAUGGCAAUUUAGCUAGUUAGCUUGCACUUGCUAACUAAUUUGUCCUAUUAAGCUAGCUUGCUGUUGCUAGCUAAUUUGUCCUGGGAUAUAAACAUUGAGUUAUUUUACCUGAAAUGCACAAGGUCCUCUACUCCGACAAUUAAUCCACACAUAAAAUGGGCAACCGAAUAAUUUCUAGUCAUCUCUCCUCCUUCCAGGCUUUUUCAUCUUUGAACUUAAAUGGUGAUUGGCAUCUACACUUUUACCACGACAACCAGCAAAACAUUUUGUCUUUCAAUCACCCACGUGGGUAUAACCAAUGAGUAGAUGGCAUGUGGAUACCUGCUUCUUUAAACCAAUGAGGAGAUGGGAGAGGCAGGACUUGCAGCGCGAUCUGCGUCAGAAAUAGAAAGGAGUUCAAUUUUAGCCCUUGGCAUCGCAGACGCUCGUUGGCGCGCACGAGCAGUGUGGGUGCAAUAAUUGAAUAGCAUGGAUUUCUACAUUUAUUUUGCAACACUCGCGCACGUGACAUGUCCGGUCUGGUCAGCAUGUAAGGUACUUAAUUGUUACCCAGAAAUGGCUGCAGUGGACCUUUAACAUAUAGUUAACAAAACCCUGGCUCACAAUGUCUUAAACAUAGUUAAAGUGCAUUCGCACCCCUUGACUUUUUCCUCAAUCUACACACAAUACCCCAUAAUGACAAAGCGAAAACUGGUUCAGAAAUGUUUGCAAAUGUAUUUAAAAUAAAAAACAGAUACCUUAUUUACAAAAGUAUUCAGACCCUAAGCUAUGAGACUCGAAACUGAGCUCAGGUGCAUCCUGCUUCCAUUGAUCAUCCUUGAGAUGUCUCUACAACUUGGAGUCCACCUGUGUAAAUUCAAUUGAUUGGACAUGAUUUGGAAAGGCACACACCUGUCUAUAUAAGGUCCCACAGUUGACAGUGCAUGUCAGAGCAAAAACCAAGCAUUGAGGUCGAGGGAAUAGUCUGUAGAACUCAGACAGGAUUGUGUCGAGGCACAGAUCUGGGGAAGGGUACCAACAAAUGUCUGCAGCAUUGAAGGUUCCCAAGAACACAGUGGCCACCAUCACUCUUAAAUGGAAGAAGUUUGGAACCACCAAGACUCUUCCUAGAGCUGACCGCCCGGCCAAACUGAGCAAUCUGUGGAGAAGGGCCUUGGUCAGGGAGGUGACCAAGAACCAGAUGGUCACUCUGACUGAGCUCCAAAGUUCCUCUGUGGAGAUGGGAGAACCUUCCAGAAGGACAACCAUCUCUGCAGCACUCCAUCAAUCAGACCUUUAUGGUAUAGUGACCAGACGGAAGCCACAUGACAGCCAGCUUGGAGUUGGCCAAAAGGCACCUAAAGGACUCUCAGACCAUGAGAAACAAGAAUUCUCUGGUCUGAUUAAACCAAGAUCAAACUCUUUGGCCUGAAUGCCAAGCAUCACGUCUGGAGGAAACCUGGCACCAUCCCUAUGAUGAACCAUGGUGGUGGCAGCAGCAUCAUGCUGUGGGGAUAUUUUUCAGCGGCAGGGACUGGGAGACUAGUCAGGAUCAAGGCAAAGAUGAACGGAGCAAAGUACAGAGAGGUCCUUAAUGAAAACCUGCUCCAGAGCACUCAGGACCUCAGACUGGGGCGAAAGUUCACCUUCCAACAGAACAACAACUAAGCACACAGCCAAGAAAUCGCAGAAUUGGCUUCGAGACAAGUCUUUGAAUGUCCUUGAAUGGCCCGGCCAGAGUCGACUCGAACCAAUUGAACAUCUCUGGAGAGACCUGACUGGGGCGAAGGUUCACCUUCCAACAGGACAAUGACCCUAAGCACACAGCCAAUACAACGCAGGAGUGGCUUCGGGACAAGUCGAACAUCUCUGGAGAGACCUGAAAAAAGCUGUGCAGCGACACUCCCCAUCCAAUCUGACAGCACUUGAGAGGAUCUGCAGAGAAUGGGAGAAACUCGCCAAAAACAGGUGUGCCAAGCAUGCAGCGUCAUACCCAAGACGACUCGAGGCUGUAAUCACUGCCAGAGGUCCUGGAAACCGUCAAAGGGUCUGAAUACUUACCGAAUGCACUGUAUAGUAGAAUUCUAACCUUUUAAAAUAGUCUACGUUUACGUACUGUAUAUACUGUACCAGUCAAAAUUUGACACACCUACUCAUUCAAGGGUUUUUCUUUAUUUUUUCUAUUUUCUACAUUGUAGAAUAAUAACGAACACAUCAAAACUAUGAAAUAACACAUGUAGUAACCAAAAAAAUGUUAAACAAAUGUAAAUAUAUUUUAGAGUCUUCAAAGUAGCCACCCUUUGCCUUGAUUACAGCUCUGCAGACUCUUGGCAUUCUUUCAACCAGCUUCACAUGGAACGCUUUUCCUACAGUCUUGAUUGAGUUCCCACAUAUGUUGAGAAUUUGUUGGCUGCUUUUCCUUCACUCUGCGGUCCAACUCAUCCCAAACCAUCUCAAUUGGGUUGAGGUCGGGUGAUUGGAGGCCAGGUCAUCUGAUGCAGCACUCCAUCACUCUCCUUCUUGGAGGUGUGUUGGGUCACAUUUGAAAUAUUUUAAAUGGGUUUGGAAGAACAGGGAAAGAAAAGGGAAAGAAAAUACUUAAUAGGGCUGACUGACCUAUGAUCUCUGUUCUGACAUCCUGGUGAGGCCCGAUCACCUUCGCUAGAAACACUGAAGACAUUGGGUGAGAUUUACAGUUGAAGUCGGAAGUUUACAUACACUUAGGUUGGAGUCAUUAAAACUCGUUUUUCAACCACUCCACAUAUUUCUUGUUAACAAACUAGUUUUGGCAAGUCGGUUUGGACAUCUACUUUGUGCAUGACACAAGUAAUUUUUCCAACAAUUGUUAACAGACAGAUUAUUUUACAAUUCCAGUGGAUCAGAAGUUUCCAUACACUAAAUUGACAGUGUCUUUAAACAGCUUGGAAAAUUCCAGAAAAUUAUGUCAUGGCUUUAGAAGCCUCUGAUAGGCUAAUUGACAUCAUUUGAGUCAAUUGCAGGUGUACCAGUGGAUGUAUUUCAAGGCCUACCUUUAAACUCAAUGCCUCUUUGCUUGACAUUAUGGAAAAAUCAAAAGAAAUCAGCCAAGACCUCAGAUUUUUUUUUGAGACAUCCAACAGUCUGAUUCAUCCUUGGGAGCAAUUUCCAAAUUCCUAAGGUACAACGUUCAUCUGUACAAACAAUAGUAUGCAAGUAUAAACACCAUGGAACCACGCAGCCGUCAUACCGCUCAGGUAGGAGACGCAUUCUGUCUCCUAGAGAUUAAGGUAAUUUGGUGAGAAAAGAGCAAAUCAAUCCCAGAACAACAGCAAAGGACCCUGUGAAGAUGCUGGAGGAAACAGGUACAAAAGUAUCUAUAUCAACAGUAAAACGAGUCCUAUAUCGACAUAACCUGAAAGGCCGCUCAGCAAGGAAGAAGACACUGCUCCAAACCCACCAUAAAAAAGCCACACUACGGUUUGCAACUGCACAUGGGGACAAAGAUCGUACUUUUUGGAGAAAUGUCCUCUGGUCUGAUGAAACAAAAAAAAAUGGCCAUAAUGACCAUCAUUAUAUUUGGAGGAAAAAGGGGGAGGCCUGCAAGCCGAAGAACACCAUCCUAACCGUGAAGCACGGGGGUGGAAGCAUCAUGUUCUGGGGGUGCUUUGCUGCAGGAGGGACUGGUGCACUUCACAAAAUAGAUGGCAUCAUGAGCAUGGAAAAUUAUGUGGAUAUAUUGAAGCAACAUCUCAAGACAUCAGUCAGGAAGUUAAAAAGCUUGGUCACAAAUGGGUCUUAGAAAUGGACAAUGACCCCAAGCAUACUUCCAAAGUUGUGGCAAAAUAGCUUAAGGACAACAAAGUCAAGGUAUUGGAGUGGCCAUCACAAAGCGCUGACCUCAAUCCCAUAGAAAAUUUGUGGGCAGAACUGAAAAGUAAAGAACUUUAAGGUCGUCUCUCAAUUUAAAAAACAUGUCAAUAGUUUGCCCCUUGAUAACCAGCGCACUUCUGUAUGUUGUAAAAGCCUUACAUGGUCUUUGCCAAUAUCAUUGCAUAGUGCAGAAAAUACACAAGAAUUCAGGGGCCUUGCUUUAACUUCUUUGGGAAAGGGGGGCAGUAUUGAGUAACUUGGAUGAAUAAGGUGCCCAGAGUAAACUGCUUGUUACCCAGGCCCAGAGGCUAUGAUAUGCUUAUGAGUAGUAGAUUUGGAUAAAAACUCUAAAGUUUCCAAAACUUUAGAGUUAAAAUUAAUUAAAAUAAUAAUAAUAACAAUAGAACUCAUAUGGCAGGCGAAAACCUGAGACAAAUCCAACCAAGGAAGUGGGAAAUCUGAGGUUUGUAGUUUCAUUUAACUUCUCUAGGAUAGGGGGCAGCAUUUUCAUUUUUCGAUAAAUAGCGUGCCCAAUUUCAACUUCCUUCUACUCAUCCCCAGAAUAUAAGAUAUGCAUAUUAUUAGUAGAUUUGGAUAGAAAACACUCUGAAGUUUCUAAAACUGUUUGAAUCAUGUCUGUGAGUAUAACAUAAGUUAUGUAGCAGGCAAAACCCAGAGGACUAAAAAUUCAGAUUUAUUUAUUUUUUUGGUCACUGUCUGUUCAAUGAAAUUUCAUUGGGAUACUAGAUUUCUAAUCAACCUGUUUGCAGUUCCCACCGCUUCCACUGGAUGUCACCAGUCUUUGGAAAUUGGUUGAGGUUAUUCCUUUGUGCAAUGAAGAAGUACGGCCAUCUGGAAUCAGUGUAACGUUAUGUGUACUGUUUGAGAGUUGCGCAAGACUAGAAAAGUAGCGUUAGUUUGUUGUCCUCCUGUAUUGAAAACAAAUAGACUCGUCUUCAAUUUGAUCGAUUAUUAACGUUUAAAAAUACCUAAAGUUGUAUUACAAAAGUAGUUUGAAAUGUUUUGGCAAAGUUUAGAGGUAAUGUUUGAGAUAUUUUUUAGUGACAUUGCGCAAAUUGGAAGCUGUUUUUUUCUGGAUCAAACGCACCAAAUAAAUGGACAAUUUGGAUAAAUAUGGACGGAAUUAGUCAAACAAACGGACCAUUUGUGAUGUUUAUGGGACAUAUUGGAGUGCCAACAAAAGAAGCUCGUCAGAGGUAAGGCAUGAUUUAUAUUUUAUUUCUGCGUUUUGUGUUGCACCUGCAGGGUUGAAAUAGGCUACACUCUCUUUGUUUACUGUUGUGCUAUCAUCAGAUUAUAGCAUCUUAUGCUUUCGCCGAAAAGCCUUUUUGAUAUCUGACAUGCUGGCUGGAUUCACAACGAGUGUAGCUUUAAUUUGGUAUCUUACAUGUGUGAUUUAAUGAAAGUUUAAUUUGGCGCUCUACAUUUUCCCUGGCUAUUGGCCAAGUGAGCGUCCCACAUAUCCCAGAGAGGUUAAGUGAUUGCCUAUCUAAUAUGCUGUGUCUAUGGGGCCAGAUUGCACUUCCCAGGGCUUCCAGCAGGUGUCAACAGUCUUUAGAAAGUUGUUUGAGGCUUCUAUUGUGGAAGGGGGUCGAAUAAGAGCUGUUUCAACAAGUGGACUAAGGUGUGGCCAAUGAGUUGUUAAGAUACCAACUGCGCGGUCACGCCGUUCCUUCUUUUUCCUCUGUAAUGAAUAUGCUAUUGUCCGGUUGGAAUGUUAUUGAAGAUUUAUUAUAAAAAGACCAUAAGGAUUGAUUGUAAACAUCGUUUGACAUGUUUCUACAAACUGUAAUGGAACUCUUGACUUUUCCUCUGGAUGUUGCGCUCGCGCAUUGUGCCUUUGGAAUAGUGAACUAAACGCGCAAACAAAACGGAGGUAUUUGGACAUAAAUAUGGACGUAAUCGAACAAAACAAACAUUUCUUGUGGAAGUGGGAGUCCUGGGAGUGCAUUCCGAUGAAGAUCAGCAAAGUGAAGAUUUAUAAUGCUAUUUCUGACUUUUGUUGACUCCACAAUUUGGCGGGUAACUGUAUGGCCAAAGAAAUAUCCGCCAUGUUGUGCAGUCAACAGUCAGAAAUAGCAUUAUAAAUAUUCACUUAUCUUUGAUGAUCUUCAUCAGAAUGCACUCCCAGGGAUCCCAGUUCCACAAUAAAUGUUUGAUUUGUUCGAUAAAGUUAAUCAUUUAUGUCCAAACACCUCCUUUUGUUAGAACGUUUAGUAAACAAAUUGUAACUCACGAGGCGCGGACAAGUCCAGCGGGAAUGUCGGACGAAAAUUCCAAAAAGUUAUAUUAGUUGUCGUAGAAACAUAUCAAACGAUGUAUAGAAUCAAUCUUUAGGAUGUUUUUAUCAUAAAUGUUCAAUAAUGUCCCAACCGGAGAAUUCCUUUGUCUGUAGAAAAGCAAUGGAACGAGAGCUACUUCUCACAUGAACGAGCGUCAAGUUUGUGGCACUCUGCCAGACCACUGACUCAAAGAGCCCUUAUGAGCCCCUCCUUUAUAGUAGAAGCCUCAAACAAGUUUCUAAAGACGGUUGACAUCUAGUUGAAGCCUUAGGAAGCGCAAAAUGACCCCAUAGGCACUGGGUAUUCGAUAGGCCAAGCUUUGAAAAACUACAAACCUCAGAUUUCCCACUUCCUGGUUGGAUUUCUCAGGUUUUCGCCUGCCAUAUGAGUUCUGUUUUACUCACAGACAUCAUUCAAAUAGUUUUAGAAACUUCCGAGUGUUUUCUAUCCAAAUCUACUAAUAAGAUGCAUAUAUUAGUAACUGGGACUGAGUAGCAGGCAGUUUACUCUGGGCACGCUUUUCAUCCAAAUGUGAAAAUGCUGCCCCCUAUCCAUAAGAAGUUAACAUACAAGCUUUUGUCUACUAUGUUCCGUCAAUUUUCUACACAUCUGCUAACUGUCAUAUAGAUAAGAUGAGGCACUUUCUAUAAAAUGAGAGGGACAACUGUGUUCAUUGAGCUUUUAACUAUGCACUGUUGAGUGGAUGGUUGAUUCUCCAUUUUGCAAAUCUUAUAAUAAAGUGUUGUUUAAAAUAAUCUGCAGUCUCUCUUCCCUUUGAUUAGAAUUACCAGGACAGUGGCUACUUUGAAGAAUCUCAAAUAUAAAAUAUAUUUUGAUUUGUUUAAUACUUUUUUGGUUACUACAUGAUUCCAUAUGUGUUAUUUCAUAGUUUUGAUGUCUUCACUAUUAUUCUACAAUGUAGAAAAUAGUAAAAAUAAAGAAAAACCCUGGAAUGAGUAGGUGUGUCCAAACUUUUGACUGGUACUGUAUGUUUGAGAAACAAUAAAAACAAAUUGAGAAAUGGUGAGACUAGGGAUGCAUGAAAUAUAGGUGAACAUAUCAGAAUCAGCUGAUAUUAGCUAAAAAUGCCAACAUUGGUCUGAUGUCUAGUUCAACGCUGAUGUGCAUACCUAUGUAACAUGACGUAAUGACGGCAAGUAAAAUUUUGCAACACAGCAUUUCUAACCUAGCCCACAAUGUCUGCUGUGUGGAUCUAGCAGUCCCUUUAUUAGCCAGUCUGAGAUAUGGCUUUUUCUGUGCAACUCUGCCUAGAAGCCCAUCUACUGCUCAGUUGUGCACCGGGGCCUCCCACUCCUCUUUCUAUUCUGGUUAGCCAGUUUGCGCUGUUCUGUGAAGGGAGUAGUACACAGCGUUGUACGAGAUCUUCAGUUUCUUGACAAUUUCUCGCAUGGAAUAGCCUUCAUUUCUCAGAACAAGAAUAGACUGAAGAGUUUCAGAAGAAAGUUCUUUGUUUCUAGCCAUUUUGACCCAGUAAUCGAACCCACAAAUGCUGAUGCGCCAGAUGCUCAACUAGUCUAAAGACCAGUUUUAUUGUUUCUUUAAUCAAAACAACAGUUUUCAGCUACAAUAGUUAUUUACAACAUUAACUAUGUCUACACUGUAUUUCUGAUCAAUUUGAUAUUAGUUUAAUAGACAAAAAAGGUGCUUUUCUUUCAAAAGUGACCCCAAACCUUUGAACGGUAGUGUACGUAAAUGCCAACAAAAUAACUUUUUGGUCAGUGUGGUGUGUGUGUGUAACCUUUAUUUAACUAGGCAAGUCAGUUAAGAACAAAUUCUUAUUUACAAUGACGGCCUACCCAGGCCAAACCCGGACAACGCUGGGCCAAUUGUGCGCCGCCCUUUGGGACUCCCAAUUACGGUCGGAUGUGACACAGCCUGGAUUCAAACCAGGGACUGUAGUGACGCCUCUUGCACUGAGAUGCAGUGCUUUAACACACACACAUGGACGCAGCGGUCUAACUAUUUAACUGUACUAUAAUGAUUAAAAGGACGCCAUUGUUUUAAUAUAUCGGUUAUCGGUAUUGUUUUUUUUUGCCAAGGAAAAUAUUGGAUAUCGGUAUCGGCCAAAAAUGUCAUAUCGUUGCAUCACUAGGUGAAACGGUCAAAAAGGUACUCGUAAAAACAUCGACAUACGAACCUUUGGAAGGGUAACUGCAUUCUUGUGAUUAGGUGGAAGCUCACAAUAUCUUCAACAAGUGUGUCUUUGUCAGAAAGGCUGUCAACUGGUCUCAUGCACCCAGCCACUUCCAGGUAUUCUGAAGCUGACUGCAUUGCCCCUCUCAAUUCUUCCAAGGAUCUAGAUUCCUGAAUCUGAAGCAAAAGAGUUGGCAAAUGAGUUAAAGCCUUCCAGUGCUUCCCCUAGGAUUUCUUUCUUUCUGUGAGAAUGGCUGUGAGAAGGUCACUUCUGUUGACAUUUUUAAAGGACAUUCUACUCCAAGAAAAAUGUAUAAUAUAACCUGUAAUCCAACUGAUGCAGCAUAGCUGCUUUAAAUAAAUAUGCUGAAGCAUGGCGUUGCCCA